GUAGUCUCGCACAGAUGCAUAUCAAUAAGCGGAGGAAAAGAAACUAACAAGGAUUCCCCUAGUAACGGCGAGUGAAGCGGGAAGAGCUCAAAUUUGAAACCUUAAAGGGUUUCCCUUUACGAAUUGUAGUUUAAAGAAGUGUUUUCUGUUGAGGUUUUGGUAAAAGUUCUUUGGAAUAGGACAUCAUAGAGGGUGAGAAUCCCGUAUUUGACCUUUACUUUCAACUUUGUGAUACACUUUCAAAGAGUCGGAUUGUUUGGGAAUGCAGUCCAAAAUGGGUGGUAAAUUUCAUCUAAAGCUAAAUAUUGGCGAGAGACCGAUAGCGAACAAGUACCGUGAGGGAAAGAUGAAAAGAACUUUGAAAGGAGAGUUAAACAGUACGUGAAAUUGUCAAAAGGGAAGCGUUUGACACCAGUGUUGUUUUUCUGAAAAUCAAUUAAAGAACUGUUUAUGCUAAGCUGUUUAGACUUUAUCAGCUAACUGUUUAGUUUUGAGCUUUUCUUUAAUGCACUUUUCAGUUAACAAGUCAACAUCAAUUUCUUUUGCUGUAAAAAAGCUUGAGGAAGGUGGCUUGAGAUUCGUCUUAAGUGUUUAUAGCCUCUUGCCUAUGCAGUCGGAGAGAUUGAGGUCUGCAGCGUAGAUCCUUCGGGGCUAAAUGCAUUUGUGCUAAGUUAUAGCAUUUUAUAGACAACUUGUUGACUAUGAUUUGUCUUGUAGCUUACUCGCUUAUGUUAUUUUACCUACGCUUAGGAUGUUGAAGACUCUACAGAGAUA
RNAcentral lists this ribosomal RNA (774 nucleotides) under uncultured Neocallimastigales. RNAcentral describes it as "partial large subunit ribosomal RNA". It matches the Rfam family "Eukaryotic large subunit ribosomal RNA", at positions 24 to 633 of the family's 3401-position model. Lineage: Eukaryota; Fungi; Neocallimastigomycota; Neocallimastigomycetes; Neocallimastigales. The record is from RNAcentral.